RNAcentral lists this transfer RNA (63 nucleotides) under Anilius scytale (false coral snake). RNAcentral's name for it is "tRNA-Met". The record is from RNAcentral. Lineage: Eukaryota; Metazoa; Chordata; Lepidosauria; Squamata; Aniliidae.
GAUAAAGUCAGCUAAACAAGCUAUCGGGCCCAUACCCCGAAAAUGUCACCACGACCUUUAUCA